This 590-nucleotide ribosomal RNA is filed under the name uncultured archaeon. Its description in RNAcentral is "bacterial SSU rRNA". It matches the Rfam family "Archaeal small subunit ribosomal RNA", at positions 262 to 856 of the family's 1478-position model. The record is from RNAcentral.
AAUCGGUACGGGUUGUGGGAGCAAGAGCCCGGAGAUGGAUUCUGAGACACGAAUCCAGGCCCUACGGGGCGCAGCAGGCGCGAAAACUUUGCAAUGCGGGAAACCGUGACAAGGGAACUCUGAGUGCCCGUAAAAUCGGGCUGUCCAUCAGUUUAAACAACUGGUGAAGAAAGGGCCGGGCAAGACCGGUGCCAGCCGCCGCGGUAAUACCGGCGGCUCGAGUGGUGGCCACUAUUACUGGGCUUAAAGCGUUCGUAGCUGGUCUGUUAAGUCCCUGGGGAAAUCUUCCGGCUUAACCGGAAGGCGUCUCAGAGAUACUGGCAGACUAGGGACCGGAAGAGGUGAGAGGUACUCCAGGGGUAGGAGUGAAAUCCUGUAAUCCUUGGGGGACCACCUGUGGCGAAGGCGUCUCACCAGAACGGCUCCGACAGUGAGGGACGAAAGCUGGGGGAGCAAACCGGAUUAGAUACCCGGGUAGUCCCAGCUGUAAACGAUGCGCGUUAGGUGUAUCAGUGACCACGAGUUACUGAGGUGCCGAAGAGAAAUCGUGAAACGCGCCGCCUGGGAAGUACGGUCGCAAGGCUGAAACU